This 254-nucleotide ribosomal RNA is filed under the name uncultured bacterium. Its description in RNAcentral is "partial 16S ribosomal RNA". It matches the Rfam family "Bacterial small subunit ribosomal RNA", at positions 524 to 776 of the family's 1533-position model. The record is from RNAcentral.
GACGAACCGUGCGAACGUUAUUCGGAAUCACUGGGCUUAAAGCGCGUGUAGGCGGGUCGGCACGUCGGUCGCUGAAAUCCCCCGGCUCAACCGGGGAAGGGGCGCCGAUACGGCCGGCCUCGAGGGGAGUAGGGGGACCUGGAACUUCCGGUGGAGCGGUGAAAUGCGUUGAGAUCGGAAGGAACGCCCGUGGCGAAAGCGAGGUCCUGGGCUCUUACUGACGCUGAGACGCGAAAGCUAGGGGAGCAAACGGG